AGAGUUUGAUCAUGGCUCAGAGCGAACGCUGGCGGCGUGCCUAACACAUGCAAGUCGAACGUGAAAUGGGGCAACCCAAAGUAAAGUGGCGUACGGGUGAGUAACACGUAGGUAAUCUACCGAAGAGUCUGGAAUAACCUGCCGAAAGGCGGGCUAAUACUGGAUAGAGCGACGGGACCCGUAAUCGGGUCUUUCGGGAA
RNAcentral lists this ribosomal RNA (200 nucleotides) under uncultured bacterium. RNAcentral describes it as "partial 16S ribosomal RNA". It matches the Rfam family "Bacterial small subunit ribosomal RNA", at positions 8 to 204 of the family's 1533-position model. The record is from RNAcentral.